CCUCCACAUAAAACAUGUUCCAGUCUUGUUUUCUGGUGCUGCUGGCAGCUGCAUCUGUUGUAUGUGGAGAAAUUGACUUUGUUCAGCCAAGUCAUCUGGCUGUACUGCUCGGGCAGACUUUAAGUAUUGGGUGUAAAGUGAGUGGAUAUGAUUUGACUGACAGCAGCUACUGUACAAACUGGAUCCGGCAUACUACAGGGAGAGAGAUGCAAUGGAUUGGAUACAUAUGUAGCAGUGGGGGCACAGGUUUCACAGCUUCACUGAAGAACAGGUUCAGCAUUACCCAAGACACCUCCAGCAAUAAAGUGACCCUUCAGGGUAUGAAUAUGCUGGUAGAAGACACGGCUGUGUAUUACUGCGUGCGUUACAGAGACACAGUGCUCUGCAGCACCAGAGUGCUUGUACAAAAACCUUUUUGAUCCUGCCUUUUAAUAUAUUGUGUAUGUAUUGUAUCCAAAUUUCACUACUCUGGGAAUUUAAUUCGUGCAAGCCUUCAAGAUAAUACCAGUAUUUAUUAUUGCACUUUUUCAAUAUUAAUAAAUUAAUUAAACGUCCUAAAAAUAAUAAUAAUAAUCUGUCUACAUUGGCCAGUAAUAUUUUUAUACAUUUAUUUUGUGUUUAUAUUGCAAUCAACUUGCAGUUGUAUCCACUGCCACAUUUGACAUAGAAAAUGUUGGCUCGAUCAGAUGUUAGGUGUUUGGCUUUAGAUACUGUAUGUUGUGUGUAACAUUACUUUUCUUCACUGUGUUCAUGUUCAUAUACAUUUGGUUCUUUCUGUUGUUUGUGGAGUUGGUGAACCAGCCAUUGAGUGCAUUGUAGUAAAACUUUAAUAAAACAAAAUAAUGUUCAGUGCAAACUUGUAUAGCUCACCCCUAAGAAGCACAGACACACUGCAGAAAAUACUUUCAAUUAUACAUUCAAUUAAGAAUGUUACUGAAACCUGCAAUCAGUAUUUCAGUCCGUAU
This is a non-coding RNA of Electrophorus electricus (electric eel), 965 nucleotides long. NCBI's taxonomy places the organism in Eukaryota, Metazoa, Chordata, Actinopteri, Gymnotiformes, Gymnotidae. The record is from the annotation of a RefSeq genome assembly.